UACGUAGGGGCCUAGCGUUGUCCGGAAUUAUUGGGCGUAAAGAGCUCGUAGGCGGUUCGGCAAGUCGGAUGUGAAAUCUCCACGCUUAACGUGGAGGGGCCAUUCGAAACUGCUGUGACUCGAGUCCGGUAGGGGAGUGUGGAAUUCCCGGUGUAGCGGUGAAAUGCGCAGAUAUCGGGAAGAACACCCGUGGCGAAGGCGGCUACUCUGGGACGGUACUGGACGCUGAGACGCGAAAGCGUGGGGAGCGAACAGG
RNAcentral lists this ribosomal RNA (256 nucleotides) under uncultured bacterium. RNAcentral describes it as "partial 16S ribosomal RNA". It matches the Rfam family "Bacterial small subunit ribosomal RNA", at positions 524 to 776 of the family's 1533-position model. The record is from RNAcentral.